Molecule: long non-coding RNA, 1127 nt
Organism: Sebastes umbrosus (honeycomb rockfish)
Lineage: Eukaryota; Metazoa; Chordata; Actinopteri; Perciformes; Sebastidae
Exons: 2
Source: RefSeq, a predicted model, not a curated record
GCCCCCACCUUCCUCUCUUAUGCUAAUAGGAAGGAGGGUGGUGCUGGUCGAGGGGGAGUAGAUAGAGACACUAUUGUAGAUCAGCUCUGAUGGAUGCAGUAGAGGGCUGUGUUGCUGCUGCUCCUUUACUCGCUUUCAGAAAAAAAAUGUGAUUGCAUAUGGUGAAUUAUUGUUACACUAAAUCCCUCAUAUAUCCAUUGAUUGACUGAUUUACAAUGUAUUUAGAUUUCCCUUUUUUGAAGCCUCCCUCUUCAUAAUGCAAUACUACCAAUAUGUUGUUUAAAUGCAUUCAUAAUUCACCAACGCAGAUCUUAAGUAAGUAAUGAAUCUAAAGUCGGAGAUAUGAGUACACGCAAAACUGGUUUAAAAAAAAAAAACGUAUACUAAAUGAAAUUCAUGAAAUAUUCUGUGCAUGCCAUUUUUUCCCCCUAUUUCAGACACCUGCAGUGACUUAAUGCUGAGGAGGCAGGCUGCUUGAGUCGUGCGGCAGGACUGGCUGUGGGUUUGUUUUUUUUUCGGCUGACCCAGUUGGGAGGCACAUUGAAUAUGCAACUAAGACACAGACGGGAGAGAAAACUUGGCGACACAUGACUGGAUAAUCAUCACGGUGUUUUAAUAUUCAAGAGAGAGGAGCGAUAACAUUAGGGAAGAGGCUACAAAAUAUGGGGGACCAUUGAGGUUGAGAUUCGCGGUAGAGCAGACAAAAGGGGGAGAAGAAGAGUAUAAGAAAGGAGAGAAGAAAGAAGAUGGAGCGAAAAACAGGCAACGAUGGAGCGCAAGGAAUGCACCUCCUCUUCUACAGCUACAGAUUAAACAUGAAGAAAGAGUUCGCAAAAAGAGAUGGAGAAGAGAAAGAGAAGAAUAAGACGGGAAAAAAAAGGGAGUCUGGUGGUUGCCAUGGUGAUGAGAGGGGAGAGAUUCCAGAGUGGUCUCAGCCAUUACGCAGUGUGUUGGGGAGAUGGACUGUGCAGCACUUAGGCUUAUUGCAGUGUGGGCUGAAACAGAACAGAUAUCUAAUAUAGACGAGAUGGGCUCGCACCAAAAUGGUGGAUGGUAAGCACAGUCCUAAUAAAAAGAGGCUGUGGAAUACAGGAGGUUUCACUGCCAAGAGCUGCGCUGAGAAAAGC